CCUACGUGAGGCAGCAGUGGGGGAUAUUGCACAAUGGGGGGAACCCUGAUGCAGCGACGCCGCGUGGGUGAAGGAGCGUUUCGGCGCGUAAAGCCCUAUCGGCAGGGAAGAAGAUGACGGUACCUGGCCAAGAAGCCCCGGCUAACUACGUGCCAGCAGCCGCGGUAAUACGUAGGGGGCAAGCGGUAUCCGGAUUUACUGGGUGGAAGGGGGGCGCAGACGGCAAGGCAAGCAAGGAGUGAAAGCCCGGGGCUCAACCCGGGAACGGCUCUGGGAACGGCCUGGCGGGAGUGCGGGAGGGGGAGGGGGAAUGCGAGGUGGAGGAGUGAAAUGCGUAGAGAUGAGGAGGAACACCGAGGGGGAAGG
This 366-nucleotide ribosomal RNA is filed under the name uncultured bacterium. RNAcentral describes it as "partial 16S ribosomal RNA". It matches the Rfam family "Bacterial small subunit ribosomal RNA", at positions 338 to 721 of the family's 1533-position model. The record is from RNAcentral.